Gracilinanus agilis (Agile Gracile Mouse Opossum) is the source of this 849-nucleotide long non-coding RNA. RefSeq lists it as uncharacterized. The transcript has 2 exons. Lineage: Eukaryota; Metazoa; Chordata; Mammalia; Didelphimorphia; Didelphidae. The record is from RefSeq and is a predicted model, not a curated record.
GUGACAGAGAGGAAGCUGUGGAGAUGGUGACAGUGGUAGUGUUGUCCUGCCUGAUUCUGGAGAGGUAGCUGCUAUGACAGGGCUUCCCCCAAACAACUGGAAAUGGAGCUGAAUAGGAUUGGCUGUAGCAACCAGAUCUGCAGAGACUUCUGCACAAUUGGCUAUCCAAGGGAUGGGCUGGCUGGUUAGAAUUCGUUUUUCUGAUGGGGUGGAAGAAUAUUGGAAUCCUUUCCAAGAAGACUCCCAGGCUUGUGAGAGAAGAAAUUGAUUUUGAAAAAGAAGGUGAAGUAAUACAAUAUAAAAGAAACAAUUUUUUCCCCAAGGGAGGGAAGACAGAGAAAAGGAGAGGUGCUCUCUGACUGUUGGAGGAGGAAAAAAAUCCUGGUUUUCUUCAAUGUGUGAUGGAAAGAAAGAAUUGAUGAGUGACUUGGACUUUGAUUCUUGGCCAGAUUCUAAAGGAUGAUUGUUAUCACCAUUUCCUUUGCUAAACAUUCACUAAUAAUCCUUCAAUGAGCCUAUGAGGCUUCCUCAAGAAUAAACCACAGUAGUGAUUUCAGAUGCUGUCUAGGGAGGGUAAACUAGACUGUGAGAUCAAGGGAACAGAAUAGAAAUAAUUUACUUUGAUUUUUAUGAAGCAUUCAACAAUGUUUCACUUGCUUUUUCUGGAUAAGUGUGAGAAAAUUGAGGGAACUUAGAUAGGAAGUGGUUAAUUGUGGGAAUUGUCUGAUUCACUAUUGCUCCAUCUCAUGACUGAAAUCUGGAGCUAGCUCAGUUUCUUUUCUAUUCACCUGUGGUUCUGUCCUGUGAUAAAGGUUUAUUCUGUUGUGGGAAUAAAAAGAAAUCCUAACU